UAAGCGUCUUCAUUUAUCAAUUUUUACCUUGGCACUCUAUAAAAGUGACAUUAAAAUAACACCUUUAUAUAUGGCUCAAAAAUUUCCCAUUCUUACCCACGACCUCAUAGUGCCAAACAUUCCCUCAAUUUUCGCAAAACCCCGACAAACCCUAGGAGCCCAGUUAACCGCAAUCAACAUCGAUCAAUGACUCCAGAUGAGGCUCUUGACAUUGGAGAUCUAGCUAGACGGUGUGUUUCCAAGCCUUAGUGUGAGAUCUUAAGUAUUAAAAACUGGAGAUCAUUUUUGAAUCUCCAUUUUGUGACUCUCAUAACAGAGAAUAAGCACUGAAACUCCAUUCUUCUCUUACAAAUUCCACCAACGAGCGACAAAUCAGGAUUCUAUUUUAGUUGAAAAGGAGGUUAGCAUCAGCAAGAGCAUUUUAGCUUGUCCUAUUUGUUAUCAACCAUUCACAUGGAAUGGUAAUCUAGGUUUAUCAAUAGAAUCUAUGUGAGGGUCUAGUUUCCACUAUAGUUCUUGUAAGAAGGCAUGCUUUGGUAAUGAAACACAUCUUGACUUGACAAUAGCCAGUGGGGCCAAGGAGUAUGAUGAAUCCAUGCCAGUUGCAACAGAGAUAUUUAGGUUGAGCAUCUAGAAUGUGACUUGUAACCAUCUUUAUACAUUUUGAAGAAAGAUGAUGUAGAACUAGAUGCAGCAAAAGACUAUGAACAACUCAAAGUUGAAAAAGAAGUUGUGUGCUGGUAUGGACAAAUAUUAUUGAAAGAUAGCAUUUUCUUCCUCAAUGACAGAGCUGUUAGCAUCCUAAAGUUUCCAUUUAAAAAAUUCGUGGACAAAAUUGAAGAAUCCAUUGAAAAGGCAAUACAAAAUUGUGGACAAACCAAAUAGAGAACCAGGUUCAACUGUAAUCUCUGUAUCUCUGGUCAGCAAUUACACUACUUCUGAAGGCACAACAACCGAUCAAGAAGUUGAUUAUGAGGUAAGCAAUGAGAAAGUUAAUGACGGUGGUUAUCUUCAUCCAGUCAUUCCUUAUCCUCGCAAGAAACCCCGCUUUGCAUGAAUCGCAAUCAUAGCACAUCACAUUGGGUUCAUUUUUCCAUGUCCGACAAUCAUUGAAUUCAGAAUUAUGCAUGCUUGUUCUCACUACCGGCCAAAAGGUGCUGUUCAUUAAGUCAUAACCGCAAUAGGAAGGGGGACGGCAGCAACCCACCUGUAAAACAUAUGAUUAUAGUACAUUAGAAUUAUGUUAGUAAACCUAGUAUUCUACUUGAAUAAUCUAUGCAUCAAUUUGCAUUCUAUAUGAACUAUAAAAAUGGAGGGUGAUCCAACUCAGAAAGGCAUUCGCAAUA
Long non-coding RNA from Vitis vinifera (wine grape), 1346 nucleotides. RefSeq lists it as uncharacterized. The record is from RefSeq and is a predicted model, not a curated record. NCBI's taxonomy places the organism in Eukaryota, Viridiplantae, Streptophyta, Magnoliopsida, Vitales, Vitaceae. The transcript is spliced from 5 exons.